UGCACCACUUAAAUUUCCUGGCUCCGGGCUACGAGGGUAGGUGUCCAGAGGCUGGGACCUGGGCAAACACAGGACCCAGGGAUCCAGGCCAGGAAAGCACAUGUCAGCAGGCAGGAGGGGCGCCCAGGACCGGGCUCUGCUUCUCCUGGGUCCUACUGUAAAAGGGACGCUGAGGCUCACUGCCCACCACCUGCCAUCCAGACUGACACUGCUCACAGCCUGGACAGGGAGAGGAUGCCAGAGGAGAGCCAUGUCCAUGGAAAUGGCAUCCCCUAGAAUUUGAGGCUCUCAAGCUUUCUACACCUACUGUGUCUGUCCGGCGGGAAUGUUACAUGAGAGUGUGCCACUUACACGUCUUGUCCCAAGUCUGCAUUCAGCGACGUCAAGUUGGUACCUUGAACUUGGCCACAGCAGGAAUACUGACACCACAGGAAUCAAUAAAUUCUACCAAGCAGGGCUUUUUGCCCCCAA
Long non-coding RNA from Suricata suricatta (meerkat), 471 nucleotides. RefSeq lists it as uncharacterized. The record is from RefSeq and is a predicted model, not a curated record. Lineage: Eukaryota; Metazoa; Chordata; Mammalia; Carnivora; Herpestidae. The transcript is spliced from 2 exons.